RNAcentral lists this ribosomal RNA (905 nucleotides) under Bacteroidota bacterium. Its description in RNAcentral is "bacterial SSU rRNA". It matches the Rfam family "Bacterial small subunit ribosomal RNA", at positions 79 to 985 of the family's 1533-position model. The record is from RNAcentral. Lineage: Bacteria; Pseudomonadati; Bacteroidota.
UUCGGUCUGGUGGCGACCGGCGCACGGGUGCGUAACGCGUAUGCAACCUGCCUUAUGCAGGGGGAUAGCCCAUGGAAACGUGGAUUAAUACCCCAUAGUAUCAUUUUAUUGCAUAGUAGAAUGAUUAAAACUUCGGUGGCAUAAGAUGGGCAUGCGUCUGAUUAGCUUGUUGGUGAGGUAACGGCUCACCAAGGCGACGAUCAGUAGGGGUUCUGAGAGGAUUAUCCCCCACACUGGUACUGAGACACGGACCAGACUCCUACGGGAGGCAGCAGUGAGGAAUAUUGGUCAAUGGGCGCGAGCCUGAACCAGCCAUCCCGCGUGCAGGAUGACGGCCCUAUGGGUUGUAAACUGCUUUUCUACGCCAAGAAACCCUGUUACGUGUAACAGGUUGCCGGUAGCGUAGGAAUAAGCAUCGGCUAACUCCGUGCCAGCAGCCGCGGUAAUACGGAGGAUGCAAGCGUUAUCCGGAUUCAUUGGGUUUAAAGGGUGCGCAGGUUGGCUUGUAAGUCAGUGGUGAAAUACUGCCGCUUAACGGUAGAAUUGCCAUUGAUACUGCGGGUCUUGAGUAUGGUUGAGGUAGGCGGAAUGUGUUGUGUAGCGGUGAAAUGCAUAGAUAUGACACAGAACGCCGAUUGCGAAGGCAGCUUACUAAGCCAUUACUGACGCUGAGGCACGAAAGCGUGGGGAGCGAACAGGAUUAGAUACCCUGGUAGUCCACGCUGUAAACGAUGUUCACUCGCUGUUUGCGAUACACAGUAAGCGGCUGAGCGAAAGCAUUAAGUGAACCACCUGGGGAGUACGAUCGCAAGGUUGAAACUCAAAGGAAUUGACGGGGGCCCGCACAAGCGGAGGAACAUGUGGUUUAAUUCGAUGAUACGCGAGGAACCUUACCUGGGCUUAAA